RNAcentral lists this ribosomal RNA (482 nucleotides) under uncultured bacterium. RNAcentral's name for it is "partial 16S ribosomal RNA". It matches the Rfam family "Bacterial small subunit ribosomal RNA", at positions 28 to 507 of the family's 1533-position model. The record is from RNAcentral.
GACGAACGCUGGCGGCGUGCUUAACACAUGCAAGUCGAACGAUGAAGAAGAGAAACGCGAACUUCGGUUCAACUUUCACUUCGGAUUAGCGGCAGACGGGUGAGUAACGCGUGAGCAACCUACCUCUUACAAAGGGAUAGCCUCGGGAAACCGUGAUUAAUACCAUAUGACACAUUCAUAAGGCAUCUUAAGAAUGUUAAAGCUACGGCGGUAAGAGAUGGGCUCGCGUCCCAUUAGCUAGUUGGUGAGGUAACGGCCCACCAAGGCGACGAUGGGUAACCGGCCUGAGAGGGUGAACGGUCACAUUGGAACUGAGACACGGUCCAAACUCCUACGGGAGGCAGCAGUGGGGAAUAUUGCACAAUGGAGGGAACUCUGAUGCAGCGACGCCGCGUGAGCGAUGAAGGAAUUCGUUUCGUAAAGCUCUGUUCUAUGGGAAGAAAAGGACUGUACCAUAGGAGAAAGCCCCGGCUAAAUACGUG